Molecule: long non-coding RNA, 415 nt
Filed under: Mus spretus (western wild mouse)
Lineage: Eukaryota; Metazoa; Chordata; Mammalia; Rodentia; Muridae
Description: lncRNA (ENSMSPG00010012082.1)
Source: RNAcentral
GGGAGUCACUCUGCCACCUGUAGAGGAUGUCUUUGAACAUGUUUUGAAAUGUGGUUUCCCUGAGGGAAUAAAGGAUAGUAUGGAAUUUGUGGAAUUUGAAGAACGGUGAAGAUCAUCUAGUGCUGCCUCAACACCCUGAGGUGCUCUGCGCCACUUUCCAAGCAAGUAGUAGAUGGUUAAUUAUUUACUUGUUCCAUGGGCUCCUGAAGGACUUAGGUGCAGAGAGAAAUACAUUUCAGUGUUGUUUGCUCUAAGUACUGUAGUCUGUAAGUUUUAUAGAGGUUUAUAACUAUAAUUCUUUUUCCUUAAAAAAAAUCAAUCAAUCAAACAAACAAACAAACAAACAAACAUGUUAUUUCUUGCAGAGAAACUCUAACAAGAUUUGCAAAGAAACAUCCCAAAUUGGUAUGCCAGC